This 879-nucleotide long non-coding RNA is filed under the name Vitis vinifera (wine grape). RNAcentral describes it as "long non-coding RNA (VVIN_LNC002084)". Lineage: Eukaryota; Viridiplantae; Streptophyta; Magnoliopsida; Vitales; Vitaceae. The record is from RNAcentral.
ACCACCACAAGCGGAUCAACACUAGACUUACGCUUCUUUUGCCCGCAAACACCGUUAUUUUGGUUCACCAAACUAUUCACAGGAAAUUCAAUUCAACUAAAUUAGUAAUUAAAUAAUAUUUCAAUUAGUAAUACUACUUGAUUCUUAAACAGAAUAUGGUUUUGAUACCAUUCACACUCAGGAUAUACAACAGUUAUGCACACAACAAAUUCUGUCUAAGGACUCCAAGCAUAAAAACAAAAAUAUACCUUAAUUACAAAAAGUUGUUGAUUACAAUCAGACUUGUUGACAACAGAGCGAUGAUUACAAAGGAAUAGAUUUUUUAAAGGAGAGAGGUUAUAAAAACUAAGUGAAAUUUAGAGAACACUCUUUGCUAGCACUACUUGCUCUCUUGGGUUCUUGAGCUCUCCAGUUCUCAAGUUUUGCCUUGAGAUGAAGGUUGUCUUUCAAUUUAUAGAGAAAAUUUCGAAAUUGAGUCUUGAUGAAAUCCACAUGCUUGAAUAAUUACCAAUGUUUUAAAAACCGGACCGGACCGGCCGGUCGGACCGGUCCAACCGCCGACCGGUCAACUUUCCGAUUCGGUCCGUCUCAAUGAACCGUUUUAUGGUUGAACCGGCAUUGAACCGGUCGAACCGCUGAACCGGACAAACCGUCCGAUUUUUCACAAACCGGUCAAGCCUAUUUUCUACAAAAAUUUGUUUAAUAUUAAAGAGCCCAUUAUCCAUUGAGCCCAUUCCACACCCAUAACUAUUGAAACUCAAAUUAAUUAUAAGCACAAAGUUGGUUUAAACAACUGGGCCCAAACAAAUAAAACCUCAGCUUCUUAACAUGUCCCUUGGGCCAUGCCUUUCAAGCCCAAUUUGUUGGCUUGUUUAGCUU